UCCACGCCCUAAACGAUGCACACUAGUUGUUGCUAUGCUAGACAUAGCAGUAAUGCAGUUAACACAGUAAGUGUGCCGCCUGGGGAGUACGGUCGCAAGAUUAAAACUCAAAGGAAUAGACGGGGACCCGCACAAGCGGUGGAGCAUGUGGUUUAAUUCGACGAUACGCGAAGAACCUUACCUGGCCUUGACAUAGAAAGAACUUUCCAGAGACGGAUUGGUGCUAGUUACUA
This 233-nucleotide ribosomal RNA is filed under the name uncultured bacterium. RNAcentral's name for it is "partial 16S ribosomal RNA". It matches the Rfam family "Bacterial small subunit ribosomal RNA", at positions 794 to 1026 of the family's 1533-position model. The record is from RNAcentral.